Long non-coding RNA from Canis lupus familiaris (dog), 742 nucleotides. RefSeq lists it as uncharacterized. NCBI's taxonomy places the organism in Eukaryota, Metazoa, Chordata, Mammalia, Carnivora, Canidae. The transcript has 5 exons. The record is from RefSeq and is a predicted model, not a curated record.
UGCAUGUUCUUCUGUUAUAGUACCCUGAAUAGAUCAUGCCAGCUCUUUCUGGCCUGCCACAAGAUGCUACACUGGAUGUGUACACAGCCAUCAGAAAGGACGAAUACCCACCAAUUGCUUCGACGUGGAUGGAACUGGAGGGUAUUAUGCUGAGUGAAAACUUAAGAUCAUUACCUUAAUAAGGAGAAGAAAUCUAUAAGAAAAGAAAAAGAACCUCACCAUUAAUAAUUAAGCAAAAGAAGACAUGAAAGAUCAAAUGGAAACAAGACCCAGACCUCCUUUUUGACCCUCAUUCCACCUUUUGUGGAAUUCUAUGAAGGAAGAAUGAGCAACCAUGAUGAAAAUUCCUGCCAUUCCUUGGAUGUGAGGAGUGAGCGUUCAUCUAGAUACCAUGGCAACCAAGAACUGUCCCGAGGAGGCCCAUGGACAGCCUAGCCAGGUGUCAGGCUACUAGGAGGCUGAAAUGCCACUCCUCUGAAUGGAAAACUAGCUGCUAUGUUCCCGGAUAGAGUGGCUGAAAUGCAGAUGCGCUCCCGGGUUUGCAGCUUUAUUCCAGUGCACUGAAGAGCUGGCUGUCAUUGAAGAACAAUUCCAGCCGCCGCGAAUGACCCAAGCUUUCCAGGGAGCCCCGUUGCAAUUGACAGCCGCAUCUUCAUCCAGUCGUGGUGCAUGGUCAUGGUCUCAGCACAGAUAAGAAUCUCUUCAGUAAACCAACAACCCGAAGGUGAUACUCCCUUUUGAC